This 744-nucleotide ribosomal RNA is filed under the name uncultured archaeon 65C. RNAcentral describes it as "bacterial SSU rRNA". It matches the Rfam family "Archaeal small subunit ribosomal RNA", at positions 62 to 786 of the family's 1478-position model. The record is from RNAcentral.
UGGACUCAGGCAAAACGAGUCACGGCGAACAGCUCAGUAACACGUGGCUAAUCUGCCCUUAGGACGAGAAUAACCCCGGGAAACUGGGGCUAACUCUCGAUAGGUGAAGAACUCUGGAAUGAGUCUUCACUCAAAAAGCUUCACGUUAUCCUCGUGAAGUCGCCUAAGGAUGAGGCCGCGGCCGAUCAGGUUGUUGGCGAGGUAACGGCUCACCAAGCCUUUUACCGGUGCGGGCCGUGAGAGCGGGAGCCCGGAGAUGGGUACUGAGACAAGGACCCAGGCCCUACGGGGCGCAGCAGUCGCGAAACCUUUGCAAUACACGAAAGUGUGACAGGGCUAUCCCGAGUGCCAUCCGCUGAGGAAGGCUUUUACCCAGUCUAGAUAGCUGGGGGAAUAAGGAGAGGGCAAGUCUGGUGUCAGCCGCCGCGGUAAUACCAGCUCUCCGAGUGGUGUGGAUGUUUAUUGGGCCUAAAGCAUCCGUAGCUGGCUAGGUCAGUCCCUUGUCAAAUCCACCGAAUUAAUCGUUGGAUCGCGGGGGAUACUGCUUGGCUAGGGGACGAGAGAGGCAGACGGUAUUUUCGGGGUAGGGGUGAAAUCCUAUAAUCCCGGGAAGACCACCAGUGGCGAAGGCUGUCUGCCAGAACGCGCCCGACGGUGAGGGAUGAAAGCUGGGGGAGCGAACCGGAUUAGAUACCCGGGUAGUCCCAGCUGUAAACGAUGCAGACUAGGUGUUUGGACGGCCAC